AUGCUUCAAUAUUUGGACAUUUCCAAAAACAAUCUUCAUGGUAGGGUUCCAGUGGAGAUCUUUAGAAUCCCAACAAUAUUUGUAAUUGAUUUAUCUUUCAAUAACCUUAUUGGACAACUUCCUACUGACAUGGGCAAUGCCAAACAACUUGUAUAUUUGGUACUUUCAUCAAAUAAGCUAUAUGGAGAUAUUCCAAGCACUCUCGGUGAUUGUAAAAGUUUAGAAUACAUUGAGUUAGACUCGAAUAAUUUCAGCGGAAGCAUUCCCACUUCAUUAGGCAACAUAAGCAGCCUAAAAUUCUGA
RNAcentral lists this ribosomal RNA (303 nucleotides) under Triticum aestivum (bread wheat). Its description in RNAcentral is "partial small subunit ribosomal RNA". The record is from RNAcentral. Lineage: Eukaryota; Viridiplantae; Streptophyta; Magnoliopsida; Poales; Poaceae.